AUAAACUCUUAGAGAAAUUAAGUAAUAAACGAAGGCGAAUUGAAAUAUCUUAGUAGCUUCAGGAAAAGAAAUCAAACGAGAUUCUACGAUUAGUGUGAAUGAAAGUAGACUAGCCUAUAUACAAUCCCUUCGGGGAAUAAGUAAGUAUAUUAAUAAGUAAAAUGGACGAAAACCUGUUUGAAUAUUAAGGGGAACCUUCCUCUAAGGCUAAAUAUAAUACAUAAGCGACAGAGAAAAGUACCGUGAGGGAACGGGAGUUGAAAUAGUAGUUUUAUAAGCAGCUCAAGCUAGUAAAAAAGUAAGAGCGUACCUUUUGCAUAAUGGGUCACCAAGUUAACAUUAGAUGCGAGCGGUAAAACACGCGUAGUUAAAACGAUGAUCAAUCAAAUGAAUUAGUGUCUAAAGUUAGACCCGAAGCUAGGUGAUCUUACCACAAUCAGGAUUAUAAAAGUCCGAACCGGUUAUUGUAGCAAAAAUAUCGGAAGAAUUGUGGUAAGUAUAGUGAAAGACAAAACUGACCUAGAUAGCUGGUUUUCUGCGAAACCUAUAAUAGUAGGCAAUUUAAGUAACAUCUUAGCAGGUACAGAACUUCAUCUCAGACAAGGUGUAAUAAAUUUUAUUGUAGGUUUUCUUAUAGUAAAAUUCACAUCUUACUUUGUACAUAUCGGGGGAUCGUAAAGAUUUUAUCGGUGAGUUUGUAGACUCGAAAUGGCAAAGAUGAAUCUUGAAUUAUCAGACAUAGAAUGAUAAGGUUGUAUUGUAUGUCAAAAGGGAAACAGCCCAGAACAAGAGUUAAGGUUCCGAAAUUAUUAUUAAGUGAAAUUAAGAAAGUCUUUAUUUAAGUCGACAAGGAGAUGGGCUUAGAAGCAGCCAUAAUUCAAAGACCUCGUAACAGAGCGCUUGUUAAUUUUUAAAGGCAUCGAAAAUUUAACGGAUCUAAAUAAUGUACCGAUACCUUGUCCAUAUUUGAAUAUAAUAGAUGUAAUAUUAUAUUCAUUUACUGGGGUAGCAGAACAUUGAGUUAAGAUGGAAGAAGCAUGAAAUAUUGUUGUACGACUGUUUAAUUAAAACAAAGCACUUUGCAUAACGACUUAAGUCUAAGUAUAGAGUGUGAUUUCUGCCCGGUGCCGGCUGGCUAACGAAAAUAACUAACUUUAAAAAGUUUGGUACUGUAGGAACCCCCGGUUAAUGGCGGCCUUAGCGUGAGGGUCCUAAGGUAGCGGAAUACCUUGACUGUUAAAUGCAGUCUUUGCAUGAAUGAUGUAACGAUACAACAGCUGUCUCUAUGAUUGACUCAGUGAAAUUGGCAUAACUGUGCAGAUACAGUUUACCUCUAGUUAGACGAGAAGACCCUAUGCAGCUUUACUGUUACUAAUUAUUAGGUAUGGUUGGGGACAAAUUUCAGUAAAUAAGGUAAUUGAUCAGAUUCAAAUGUAAUACCUUUAUUUGGGGAUCGUAUUGUGAGGGUUAUUUAAUCCCCUUCUUUUCCUAAAAAGAAAAGAAUGUAACCUUAGAAAGGAAAAAUUGCUAGGAGACAGUUUAUGCGGGGCACAGACCCCACAAAGAGUAAAUGGGAGUGUCCAACUAUGUUUUAGGUUAUGUAUAAUACUUACCAAGUUUAAUGGCUAAAUCUUGCUUUACUGUUUGACCACCAACAAGUCUUACAGUCGCGUAAGCGGGGCAUAGGAUCACAAGACACAAAAAGGAAAGGUCUUGGAUUAUUGGAAAAGCUACGCUAGGGAUGUUUGUCCUUCAAUGUUUAGAACAGGCUAAUUUGCGCAAGAGUGUGCAAAAUGAGUGCGCGGUUUGGCACCUCGAUGUCGGCUUAACUUAUCCUCAUGGAUGCAGAAACUAUGUAGGGUACGACUGUUCGUCGAUUAAAAAGUUACAUGAGCUGGGUUAAAUACGUCGUGAGACAGUAUGGUUUCUAUCUUCUAGAGGGAAUUAGAAUAUAAUAAGGAAUAACCUAUGUACGAAAGGAACUUGGUAUAUUAAUUUAUUAAUAUUGAAAUAAUAAAAUUAUUAAUCUCUGGUUUACCUGUUGUUUAUAUGUCU
This 2055-nucleotide ribosomal RNA is filed under the name Apiospora arundinis. Its description in RNAcentral is "Arthrinium arundinis 16S ribosomal RNA". It matches the Rfam family "Bacterial large subunit ribosomal RNA". The record is from RNAcentral. Lineage: Eukaryota; Fungi; Ascomycota; Sordariomycetes; Amphisphaeriales; Apiosporaceae.